UUUUCCCUGUUUUCUUUUCUCUAGAAUAACUAGACUUUGAAGUCCUUCAUCUCAGGCAGACACUUACUUGCUCUGCUCUUGAACACAAUGGGAAUUAUCAAGUGAGCAGAUUGAAGAGGGACCUCAUCAGAAGCUGAAAAAGAGUUUCCAAGAGGAGAAGGAUGGAGAGGUUGAGUCUGGAGGUUAGUUAAGUCAGACAGGAGAGAUAAUAAAACAGGCAAUAAAUACUUAGACACGCCAUUCCAAUUUGCCAUUUUUUCAGGGCCAACUAUACUGAACUCAAGUACAUAUUGGGAAAAUUUUGAAGACUCUCACCUUCAUCACCUGCCAUUUAACCAUGAGGGAAAAGAAAAGGAAAGGAAAAAAGAAAUCAGAAUUCAUUCCGGAACAAAUAACUUCAGGCAAGAGGAAACAAAAGUUCAAAAAUCUUGCAGACCUCAGCAAAAAGGCCUCUGAGGAAAUGACAUGACUACAUUAUAUCCUGGACAAAACCAAGUCAACAUUCCCUUGGCUUUAUAAUUACUGGAUAGACAAUUAUUUACAGGUGGGAAAAAAGAAAGAAAAACUCAAGUGUACGUAUCUGUUAUCAGAUGAGAAGGUGCUUUGAGCACUGAUAUAAAAACUAAUUCUCAGACUUGGAUAUUUUUUAAUGACAAAAUAUUUCUAUGUGGACAGUAUCACCUCAAAAAACUUGUAUGUGUGACAGAGUGUGUGCCAGGGUGACAUGAGAGCUCCACCCUACCCUCCCCACCUCCCCACCAGAGCCCAGUCAACCACUGAAUAGAUCCUUCUGUGAGCUGGAGCACAGGGACAAACCAUUCUAUGUCAAAGACUUGCCAAGGCACUGCACUGACUUGAACUCCAAUAAGAAAAUUUCAAAUCCGCCCUGUUGGUUGCCAGUAAACGAGGAUUUCUGAGAGAGUGGAAC
RNAcentral lists this long non-coding RNA (928 nucleotides) under Vombatus ursinus (common wombat). RNAcentral's name for it is "lncRNA (ENSVURG00010005417.1)". The record is from RNAcentral. Lineage: Eukaryota; Metazoa; Chordata; Mammalia; Diprotodontia; Vombatidae.